RNAcentral lists this ribosomal RNA (207 nucleotides) under Triticum aestivum (bread wheat). Its description in RNAcentral is "partial small subunit ribosomal RNA". Lineage: Eukaryota; Viridiplantae; Streptophyta; Magnoliopsida; Poales; Poaceae. The record is from RNAcentral.
AUGGCCGACCGCUUGGCUCGACGCGGUCUCCAGCACCAGCCACGAUGCCCACUUUGUGACCAGGCUCCCGAGACAAUGCACCACCUCCUCUUGCAGUGCCCCUUCGCCAGGCAGACUUGGCACGAAAUCCUGUCCUGGCUACGGAUGACCACUGCAGGGCCAAGCCACGAAGAUUCACUCAUGGACUGGUGGCUACAGUUUUGCUGA